GAGCAUGUAGCUCAGAGGGAGAGCACUGCAAUGGCAUUGUAGAGGUCAGGAGUUCGAUUCUUCUCAUGUUCACCA
Molecule: transfer RNA, 75 nt
Filed under: Candidatus Moraniibacteriota bacterium
Lineage: Bacteria; Candidatus Moraniibacteriota
Description: Candidatus Moranbacteria bacterium tRNA-Ala
Rfam family: tRNA
About the family: Transfer RNA (tRNA) molecules are approximately 80 nucleotides in length. Their secondary structure includes four short double-helical elements and three loops (D, anti-codon, and T loops). Further hydrogen bonds mediate the characteristic L-shaped molecular structure. tRNAs have two regions of fundamental functional importance: the anti-codon, which is responsible for specific mRNA codon recognition, and the 3' end, to which the tRNAs corresponding amino acid is attached (by aminoacyl-tRNA synthetases). tRNAs cope with the degeneracy of the genetic code in two manners: having more than one tRNA (with a specific anti-codon) for a particular amino acid; and 'wobble' base-pairing, i.e. permitting non-standard base-pairing at the 3rd anti-codon position.
Source: RNAcentral